UCCGGCUUAUCACCGGCAGUUUCUUUAGAGUGCCCAACUAAAUGGUAGCAACUAAAGACGAGGGUUGCGCUCGUUGCGGGACUUAACCCAACAUCUCACGACACGAGCUGACGACAGCCAUGCAGCACCUGUGUGCAGGUCCCCGAAGGGAAGGAAUCCAUCUCUGGAAGCCGUCCUGCCAUGUCAAGGCCAGGUAAGGUUCUUCGCGUUGCAUCGAAUUAAGCCACAUACUCCACCGCUUGUGCAGGCCCCCGUCAAUUCCUUUGAGUUUUAAUCUUGCGACCGUACUCCCCAGGCGGUCGACUUCACGCGUUAGCUGCGGUACUAAGGAAGUCUCCUUCCCCAACACCUAGUCGACAUCGUUUAGGGCGUGGACUAC
This 379-nucleotide unclassified non-coding RNA is filed under the name uncultured Pseudomonadota bacterium. RNAcentral describes it as "uncultured proteobacterium contains 16S-23S intergenic spacer region". The record is from RNAcentral. Lineage: Bacteria; Pseudomonadati; Pseudomonadota.